RNAcentral lists this ribosomal RNA (477 nucleotides) under uncultured bacterium. RNAcentral's name for it is "partial 16S ribosomal RNA". It matches the Rfam family "Bacterial small subunit ribosomal RNA", at positions 28 to 506 of the family's 1533-position model. The record is from RNAcentral.
GACGAACGCUGGCGGCGUGCUUAACACAUGCAAGUCGAACGUGAUUUUUGUGGAAAUUCUUUCGGGAAUGGAAAUGAAGUGAAAGUGGCGAACGGGUGAGUAACACGUGAGCAACCUACCUUACACAGGGGGAUAGCCGUUGGAAACGACGAUUAAUACCGCAUGAGACCACAGAAUCGCAUGAUAUAGGGGUCAAAGAUUUAUCGGUGUAAGAAGGGCUCGCGUCUGAUUAGCUAGUUGGAAGGGUAAAGGCCUACCAAGGCGACGAUCAGUAGCCGGUCUGAGAGGAUGAACGGCCACAUUGGAACUGAGACACGGUCCAAACUCCUACGGGAGGCAGCAGUGGGGAAUAUUGCACAAUGGGGGGAACCCUGAUGCAGCGACGCCGCGUGAGCGAAGAAGGUUUUCGAAUCGUAAAGCUCUGUCCGAUGAGAAGAUAAUGACGGUAUCAUAGGAGGAAGCCCCGGCUAAAUACGU